This 640-nucleotide ribosomal RNA is filed under the name uncultured soil bacterium. Its description in RNAcentral is "bacterial SSU rRNA". It matches the Rfam family "Bacterial small subunit ribosomal RNA", at positions 61 to 747 of the family's 1533-position model. The record is from RNAcentral.
GUCGAACGAGACCUUCGGGUCUAGUGGCGCACGGGUGCGUAACGCGUGGGAAUCUGCCCUUGGGUUCGGAAUAACAGUUGGAAACGACUGCUAAUACCGGAUGAUGACGUAAGUCUAAAGAUUUAUCGCCCAGGGAUGAGCCCGCGUAGGAUUAGCUAGUUGGUGAGGUAAAGGCUCACCAAGGCGACGAUCCUUAGCUGGUCUGAGAGGAUGAUCAGCCACACUGGGACUGAGACACGGCCCAGACUCCUACGGGAGGCAGCAGUGGGGAAUAUUGGACAAUGGGCGAAAGCCUGAUCCAGCAAUGCCGCGUGAGUGAUGAAGGCCUUAGGGUUGUAAAGCUCUUUUACCCGGGAUGAUAAUGACAGUACCGGGAGAAUAAGCUCCGGCUAACUCCGUGCCAGCAGCCGCGGUAAUACGGAGGGAGCUAGCGUUGUUCGGAAUUACUGGGCGUAAAGCGCACGUAGGCGGCGAUCUAAGUCAGAGGUGAAAGCCCGGGGCUCAACCCCGGAAUAGCCUUUGAGACUGGAUUGCUUGAAUCCAGGAGAGGUGAGUGGAAUUCCGAGUGUAGAGGUGAAAUUCGUAGAUAUUCGGAAGAACACCAGUGGCGAAGGCGGCUCACUGGACUGGUAUUGACGCU